GAUAACGAACGAGACCUUAACCUGCUAACUAGUUGCAAGUACGUGAGUACUGGCACACUUCUUAGAGGGACUGACUACGCUUAGUAGUCGGAAGUUUGAGGCAAUAACAGGUCUGUGAUGCCCUUAGAUGUUCUGGGCUGCACGCGCGCUACACUGACAAAGCCAGCGAGUCUACCUUGGCCGAGAGGCCUGGGAAAUCUUGUGAAACUUUGUCGUGCUGGGGAUAGAUCAUUGCAAUUAUUGGUCUUGAACGAGGAAUUCCUAGUAAGCGCAUGUCAUUAGCAUGCGUUGAUUACGUCCCUGCCCUUUGUACACACCGCCCGUCGCCACUACCGAUUGAAUGGC
This 345-nucleotide ribosomal RNA is filed under the name uncultured Spathaspora. RNAcentral describes it as "SSU rRNA". It matches the Rfam family "Eukaryotic small subunit ribosomal RNA", at positions 1327 to 1697 of the family's 1831-position model. Lineage: Eukaryota; Fungi; Ascomycota; Pichiomycetes; Serinales; Debaryomycetaceae. The record is from RNAcentral.